This 449-nucleotide ribosomal RNA is filed under the name uncultured bacterium. RNAcentral describes it as "bacterial SSU rRNA". It matches the Rfam family "Bacterial small subunit ribosomal RNA", at positions 335 to 799 of the family's 1533-position model. The record is from RNAcentral.
ACUCCUACGGGAGGCAGCAGUGGGGAAUCUUGGACAAUGGGGGCGAACCCUGAUCCAGCCAUGCCGCGUGAGUGAUGAAGGCCUUAGGGUCGUAAAGCUCUUUCGCCUGUGAAGAUAAUGACGGUAGCAGGUAAAGAAACCCCGGCUAACUCCGUGCCAGCAGCCGCGGUAAUACGGAGGGGUUAGCGUUGUUCGGAAUUACUGGGGCGUAAAGCGCACGUAGGCGGAUCGGAAAGUUGGGGGUGAAAUCCCGGGGCUCAACCCCGGAACUGCCUCCAAAACUAUCGGUCUAGAGUUCGAGAGAGGUGAGUGGAAUUCCGAGUGUAGAGGUGAAAUUCGUAGAUAUUCGGAGGAACACCAGUGGCGAAGGCGGCUCACUGGCUCGAUACUGACGCUGAGGUGCGAAAGUGUGGGGAGCAAACAGGAUUAGAUACCCUGGUAGCGACUGA